This 438-nucleotide ribosomal RNA is filed under the name uncultured bacterium. RNAcentral describes it as "bacterial SSU rRNA". It matches the Rfam family "Bacterial small subunit ribosomal RNA", at positions 954 to 1392 of the family's 1533-position model. The record is from RNAcentral.
GCUUAACGCGAAGAACCUUACCUGGUCUUGACAUCCAGAGAAUCCUGCAGAGAUGCGGGAGUGCUUUCGGGAACUCUGAGACAGGUGCUGCAUGGCUGUCGUCAGCUCGUGUCGUGAGAUGUUGGGUUAAGUCCCGUAACGAGCGCAACCCUUGUCCUUAUUUGCCAUCAUUUAGUUGGGCACUCUAAGGAGACUGCCGGUGACAAACCGGAGGAAGGUGGGGACGACGGUCAAGUCAUCAUGGCCCUUACGACCAGGGCUACACACGUGCUACAAUGGGCGGCACAAAGGGUUGCAAGACCGCGAGGUGGAGCUAAUCCCAUAAAACCGUUCGUAGUCCGGAUUGGAGUCUGCAACUCGACUCCAUGAAGUCGGAAUCGCUAGUAAUCGUAAAUCAGCAUGUUACGGUGAAUACGUUCCCGGGUCUUGUACACACCG